UACGAAGGGUGCAAACGUUGCUCGGAAUUAUUGGGCGUAAAGCGCACGUAGGCGGCUUUGUAAGUUGGAUGUGAAAGCCCUCGGCUCAACCAAGGAAGUGCAUCCAAAACUACAAAGCUUGAGUACUUAAGAGGAUCGCGGAAUUCCCGGUGUAGAGGUGAAAUUCGUAGAUAUCGGGAGGAACACCUGUGGCGAAAGCGGCUCACUGGACCACAACUAGACGCUGAUGCACGAAAGCUAGGGGAGCAAACAGG
RNAcentral lists this ribosomal RNA (254 nucleotides) under uncultured bacterium. RNAcentral's name for it is "partial 16S ribosomal RNA". It matches the Rfam family "Bacterial small subunit ribosomal RNA", at positions 524 to 776 of the family's 1533-position model. The record is from RNAcentral.